CUGAGUGACUCACGUUUUGCUGCGUGGCUGCUCUCAGCUAGCAGGAUCUGGCAGCCUUGGCCCAAGCAAUCCCAGUGGGCGCAUCUUGGGAGCUGACUUUGGGGCCACCUUUCCCCAUGCUGCCUGGGGACCAGAGAACACUGACCGCGGGAAAGACCGAUGCUGCCGAGGCCAGGAGGAGGGGGAGGCCGUCAUCUGUGGGUCCCCAGCAGCGCUUGGGGUCCUGGCCACUCCAGCGGCCCCUUGCACCUGCCUCCAGGGAUCCUUUGUCUUCAAAAUAACCUCCCUCCACCUUCCGGCUCAUAGUGCCUUGGGUGGAUCUGUUCCCAUUUCCCACAAGCCUGCAGGGUGGUGACAGGCCCUCAUUCCCAUGUGCCCCAAGAUUUCGGAUUCCAAAAAUACAUCCCCUGGCUCCCCGGAGAAGUGUGUCACGGUGUCUCCGUUUCACCACUGACAGGGCCAAAGGAUGUGCUCUCCUCUCCCGAGCUGCCAUGGUCAAGGCAAGCCAGGACUCACCUCAGGCUGGCCCAGCCCCUCACCCCACACUGGCUCUGGGGGCCACGGCUGGCGAAGCCUCUGCGGUAGUUGGGGAUCAGGCAGGCCGAGGGUCUGGCCUGUGCCGAGACCUGCACAGCUGGGUCAGCGGCUGCCUCUGUAUUCAUUUCCUGAGGCUGCUGUGACAAGUCACCACAUACCUGGUGGCUGAAAACAACACAUUUACUCCGCUCGCAGUUCUGGAGCCCAGAAGUGCAGUGUCACGGGGGUGAAGGCGAGGCGUCGGGGGCCGCUCCUCCUCCAGAGGCUGGGCCUUCCCAGGAGCUUAUCCACUCCUGGCCUCUCCCUGCUUAUGGGGGCUGCCAGGG
This 863-nucleotide long non-coding RNA is filed under the name Homo sapiens (human). Its description in RNAcentral is "HSALNT0098977". Lineage: Eukaryota; Metazoa; Chordata; Mammalia; Primates; Hominidae. The record is from RNAcentral.